Molecule: long non-coding RNA, 208 nt
Filed under: Citrus maxima (pomelo)
Lineage: Eukaryota; Viridiplantae; Streptophyta; Magnoliopsida; Sapindales; Rutaceae
Description: long non-coding RNA (CMAX_LNC000379)
Source: RNAcentral
GGGGAUGGAUAUGGGUAGCUAGGAAAACUGUGCAAUUGGCACAAAACCACUCUAAUACCAACUAACAGAUUCAAAUAGUAGAAGUGGAAUUGAUAGAGUAGGAAAUAUUAGAUAUUGUUCUAGUAUUGGCCAAGGUAACGCGGUUAGCUUACGUUCUAAUUGAAGCGUGAGUAGAUCUUAAUCUAACAAUGACUCAAUGAGAUUUUAA